Molecule: long non-coding RNA, 323 nt
Filed under: Homo sapiens (human)
Lineage: Eukaryota; Metazoa; Chordata; Mammalia; Primates; Hominidae
Description: non-protein coding lnc-MEOX1-2:1
Source: RNAcentral
UGCUGCUGCUGGGCUUGUGGUCUGGUCUGCAGCCUUCUCGCCUGAACCGCUCACCUCCCAAGCUGCUUGCAAACUGAAUAAAGCUCUCCCAAAGUCAAGCUGAUCGCUCCUUUCCCUGAGAAACAUGCCUCUGUCCCUGCUUCUUGGGGUCUCCCCAGCCCACCAUCUCCCCUUGGACACAGAGUGCCAGAGCACUAGCAGGGAGAAGUGGCAAAGUUUCAAGAUUUCAUUUGUAAUUCUUUUCAGAUGAAAUGUCAGAAAUAUUAGAAAGGCAGAGUCAUAAAUCUGAUCCUAAUAUAGCAUAGAGCUUAUUAAUGAAGAAU